Papaver somniferum (opium poppy) is the source of this 1156-nucleotide long non-coding RNA. RefSeq lists it as uncharacterized. Lineage: Eukaryota; Viridiplantae; Streptophyta; Magnoliopsida; Ranunculales; Papaveraceae. The transcript is spliced from 6 exons. The record is from RefSeq and is a predicted model, not a curated record.
UGCCGUACCUUAUAGGUUUAUGAAUAAAAAAUCCAGGAUGCGCCCCUUUGUUCUCUAUCAAUACAUCUCAGUAUCGCCGCUGCGAAAAAAAAGAGAAUAUUCAUCGUUUUGUUUUCUUGCCUUCCAUUGUGAGACGUGGAACAUGCAGGUUGCUUUUUAUGGAUUCUUUUGUUCGUACGGUAAAUCUUUGGGAUGUUUUACCUAAUUCUGAUAUUUGAUUUCGUUCCCAGGGAAGAUGAAUCAAAAAAUUUUGGGAACAAAAGAUGUUCUCCAUGAUUUUGAUGUUUGAUUUCGUUCAUAGAGCAGAUGAAUCACCAAUUUAAUUUUUGGGAACAACAAUCAGAUUACAUGCUCUUCAGGAACAAAAUUUGGCUACAGGCUUGCAGCAGUCUUGAUGAAGAGCUAUAAAAGAUUUGUUCCCACAAAUUUUCAUGCAUUAUUGUUCACCAACCCUAUAAAAGAAAUUGGUAAAGGGUGGUAAUGAGAAUUUCGUCUUAUUGCUAGAUCAUGUGCAAUCUGUAAGGCAGCGGAAAUCGAGCUGCAAUAAGCAGGAUGUUGUCAAUCGUAAUAUACAAGAACUUCAGACUGAAUGGGAAGGCCAUAGUUUCUAUCUGGCGCCGCCAAUUUGAAUUUGGAUCGUUAUAGAAUCUGAUGACUUGAGAGAGAACUAAAGAACGGGAGGUUGAAGCAGAUGACGUAAUACAAGUCGUUUCUGUUAAUAGUGGUGCCGCAGAUCCAAGAACUGGAUUUUUCAGGGUUCAUAGCAACCCAUCAUUAAUUGACUUGUAAUUCUUUUUGGGUCCCGACUGGCGGUGAUUUACGUUAAGCCUGAAGUGCUGCGGGGAAAAACAUCUGUCAAAUUCCUUCCUUCUUCCCAUGUUGCUGACAUCAGAAGGCCUAAUGCAGUCUGUGAAGCGAAACAAACUGGCCAUUAAUUGGAGUGAAACUCUAAUUGGGAAGACCAUUACGUACUCCCAGUUUCUGCGUGAUUCUGGUUUUUUUAUCGGUUUUUGAAUUUUCAUCGUAUUUUGGAUUAAGUACGGUUUUUAAAAUCUUGAUCUAUCAGUAUCUCAUUUUGUGGAUAAACCGAAUUGGGUUGCUUACAUCCACACUAACAAUACGAACAUGAUUUAUAAUUACCUCGGAAUACAUUCUU